GCGACCCCAGGUCAGGCGGGACUACCCGCUGAAUUUAAGCAUAUAA
This 46-nucleotide ribosomal RNA is filed under the name Poa foliosa. Its description in RNAcentral is "partial 26S ribosomal RNA". Lineage: Eukaryota; Viridiplantae; Streptophyta; Magnoliopsida; Poales; Poaceae. The record is from RNAcentral.